ANCUCUGCCCCGGGUGCGUCGCAGCCCCGGACCAAGGCGCCCGCCGGAGGACCAACCAAAACUCUUUUGUAUACCCCCUCGCGGGUUUUUUAUAUCUGAGCCAUCUCGGCGCCUCUCGUAGGCGUUUCGAAAAUGAAUCAAAACUUUCAACAACGGAUCUCUUGGUUCUGGCAUCGAUGAAGAACGCAGCGAAAUGCGAUAAGUAAUGUGAAUUGCAGAAUUCAGUGAAUCAUCGAAUCUUUGAACGCACAUUGCGCCCGCCAGUAUUCUGGCGGGCAUGCCUGUCCGAGCGUCAUUUCAACCCUCGAACCCCUCCGGGGGGUCGGCGUUGGGGAUCGGCCCUUUACGGGGCCGGCCCCGAAAUACAGUGGCGGUCUCGCCGCAGCCUCUCCUGCGCAGUAGUUUGCACACUCGCAUCGGGAGCGCGGCGCGUCCAUUGCCGUAAAACACCCAACUUUCUGAAAUGUUGACCUCGGAUCAGGUAGGAAUACCCGCUGAACUUAAGCAUAUCAAUAAGCGGAGGAAAAGA
Molecule: ribosomal RNA, 529 nt
Filed under: Trichoderma spirale
Lineage: Eukaryota; Fungi; Ascomycota; Sordariomycetes; Hypocreales; Hypocreaceae
Description: eukaryotic LSU rRNA
Rfam family: 5.8S ribosomal RNA (bases 142-295)
Source: RNAcentral